Ribosomal RNA from Clonorchis sinensis, 437 nucleotides. It matches the Rfam family "Eukaryotic large subunit ribosomal RNA", at positions 1463 to 1888 of the family's 3401-position model. The record is from Rfam. NCBI's taxonomy places the organism in Eukaryota, Metazoa, Platyhelminthes, Trematoda, Opisthorchiida, Opisthorchiidae.
GCAAAUCUUGGUGUGAACCUUGAAGGCCGAGGUGGAGAAUGGUCCCAAGGUGACAGCAGUCGGCUGUGUCAGACGGUCCUAUGUAAUCCGGUAACUUGAUGUACGGUUACAAAGCAGCCCCUGUAGCGAAAAUAAAUGGGGUUAAUAUUCCCGACUAUACCCACGGCGACUGUUGCAUUAUGGUCUCAAACCAAUCUGAAUCUAGCGUGAUAAUGCGGCCGGCCUUGGAGACAUCGGAAGGAGUUCUGGAAAGUAUACUUUUUUCCGAGCAACGCAUUAUCCCCUGAAAUCGAGUUGUCUGGAGACAAGCGACUAGCCUCCGUAAAGCGUCACAUUUCUUGUGGUGUCCGGAACGCUUUUUCUGGCCCUUAAAAAUCCGAGCGACGCAGGCCGCACUUAUAUCCGCAUUAUGUAUUUAAGGUGAACAGCCUUUGGCG